Long non-coding RNA from Ricinus communis (castor bean), 1371 nucleotides. RefSeq lists it as uncharacterized. The transcript has 2 exons. The record is from RefSeq and is a predicted model, not a curated record. NCBI's taxonomy places the organism in Eukaryota, Viridiplantae, Streptophyta, Magnoliopsida, Malpighiales, Euphorbiaceae.
AGUGAGAUAUAUUUUUAACACAAAGGAGUAACAAAAAUGAUAUGUUAAAAGAAGAGGAGAUAGAAAUAAAAUACAUAAUUCCUGCAAAAUUAAAUGAAAAGAAGAUAGUGGAGCAUUAAACCUAUUCUGAUUAUGGAGGUCUAGACGAGCAUUAACUAAUUUCUUGCUCACGUCUGGUUUUUGCAAGUCAUUGGCUGAUGCCUCCUUGUUCAUUUAUGCUGAAAAUGGUGUCGCCGCUUAUUUUUUGGUUUAUGUCAAUGAUAUUGUUCUUACUGGCAACCAUUCCCAAUUUUUGGAUCAAUUUAUUCACAAGCUAGCCACUCGGUUUUCCAUUAAGGAUUUGGGUUCUCUCCAUCAUUUUUUGGGAAUUGAGGUCAUUUCUACUCCAUCUGGUGUGUUUCUCUCUCAGCAUCGUCAUAUCAGUGAUCUUUUAUGUCGGUUUAACAUGGAUGGUGCCAAAGAGGUUGCUACUCCUUUUAGUUCCUCUGAGUCUUACUCUCUUGUUGAUGGAUCUUCCAAAGUUGAUGCUGCAUCUUAUCGUAGCCUUGUUGGUUCACUACAGUAUUUGGCAAUUACUAGGCCUGAUAUUUCUUUUGCUGUUAACAAAUUAUCGCAGUUCAUGCAUGCUCCCACGCAAAAACAUCUACAAGCAUUAAAAGAGUACUCAGAUAUUUAAAAGGUUCUGUUCAUCAUGGUUUGUUUCUAAACCGAGAUUGUCCUAUCUCCUUUACAGUCUUCUCUGAUUCUGAUUAGGGUGGUAUUCAGGAUAAUGGGCAUUCUACUACUGCCUAUAUUUUAUAUUUGGGUCUAACAUUAUCUCUUGGCGAUCAGCUCGUCAGAAAUCUGUCUCUCGCUCCUCCACUGAAGCUGAGUACAAAAGCAUUAGCCAAUGCUGCAGUAGAAGUUAUGUGGGUUCAGAAUUUAUUACAUGAAUUAGGUCUCUUGCCAAGACGAGCUUAUCGCUACUCCAACAAAGAGUUGCUGUCAAAGGAAAAAGAGAGGCGGGUAACCAGGAACAGCAAGGAUUCAUGUCCCUGACAACCUAUAUAACACAAGGAGGCAAUCCACCAUUGAACCAUAGCCAGCAGCCAGCCUCACACUUCUUUAUUUCAUUCUGCCAAUAUAUAAAGAAGCCCCCAGUGAUCCGACAAAACCUGCAAUGGCAUGCCGCUGAUCAUCAACUAUAGUUUGCUUCAUGUGUGUGUGUGUGUGUUUUUUUUUUUUUUUCACUUCCUGACCAGACUAAACAGUUUUAUUGGAGGGAGAUUACAAAUAAUUCGCAGAUUAACAUCUAACAAAGCAAGUUUUAUCUUUGAUGUAGUUGGAAUCUUUAGUUCAUAGAUGCAAUCAAGUUCAACUUACAAGUUUAAA